RNAcentral lists this ribosomal RNA (478 nucleotides) under uncultured bacterium. RNAcentral describes it as "SSU rRNA". It matches the Rfam family "Bacterial small subunit ribosomal RNA", at positions 27 to 518 of the family's 1533-position model. The record is from RNAcentral.
GGGACGAACGCUGGCGGCGUGCUUAACACAUGCAAGUCGAGCGGAAAGGCUCCUUUCGGGGGGUACUCGAGCGGCGAACGGGUGAGUAACACGUGAGUAACCUGCCCUGGACUUUGGGAUAACCCUCGGAAACGGGGGCUAAUACCGGAUAUGACACGCGGAUGCAUGUUUGUGUGUGGAAAGAUUUUUUGGUCUGGGAUGGGCUCGCGGCCUAUCAGCUUGUUGGUGGGGUGAUGGCCUACCAAGGCGACGACGGGUAGCCGGCCUGAGAGGACGACCAGCCACACUGGGACUGAGAUACGGCCCAGACUCCUACGGGAGGCAGCAGUGGGAAUCUUGCGCAAUGGGCGAAAGCCUGACGCAGCGACGCCGCGUGGGGGAUGAAGGCCCUCGGGUUGUAAACCCCUUUCGGCAGGGACGAAGCGAUUGUGACGGUACCUGCAGAAGAAGCCUCGGCUAACUACGUGCCAGCAGCCGC